GUCAUUUAGAGGAAGUAAAAGUCGUAACAAGGUUUCCGUAGGUGAACCUGCGGAAGGAUCAUUACCGAGUGAGGGCCCUCUGGGUCCAACCUCCCACCCGUGUUUAUUUUACCUUGUUGCUUCGGCGGGCCCGCCUUAACUGGCCGCCGGGGGGCUUACGCCCCCGGGCCCGCGCCCGCCGAAGACACCCUCGAACUCUGUCUGAAGAUUGUAGUCUGAGUGAAAAUAUAAAUUAUUUAAAACUUUCAACAACGGAUCUCUUGGUUCCGGCAUCGAUGAAGAACGCAGCGAAAUGCGAUACGUAAUGUGAAUUGCAAAUUCAGUGAAUCAUCGAGUCUUUGAACGCACAUUGCGCCCCCUGGUAUUCCGGGGGGCAUGCCUGUCCGAGCGUCAUUUCUGCCCUCAAGCACGGCUUGUGUGUUGGGCCCCGUCCUCCGAUCCCGGGGGACGGGCCCGAAAGGCAGCGGCGGCACCGCGUCCGGUCCUCGAGCGUAUGGGGCUUUGUCACCCGCUCUGUAGGCCCGGCCGGCGCUUGCCGAUCAACCCAAAUUUUUAUCCAGGUUGACCUCGGAUCAGGUAGGGAUACCCGCUGAACUUAAGCAUAUCAAUAAGCGGAGGAA
Molecule: ribosomal RNA, 620 nt
Filed under: Penicillium dipodomyicola
Lineage: Eukaryota; Fungi; Ascomycota; Eurotiomycetes; Eurotiales; Aspergillaceae
Description: eukaryotic LSU rRNA
Rfam family: 5.8S ribosomal RNA (bases 241-393)
Source: RNAcentral